Molecule: transfer RNA, 95 nt
Filed under: Nonomuraea glycinis
Lineage: Bacteria; Bacillati; Actinomycetota; Actinomycetes; Streptosporangiales; Streptosporangiaceae
Description: tRNA-Pro
Source: RNAcentral
GCGGAGACGUGGCGGAAGGGCUGGCGCGGCGGCUCGGGACCGCUGACGCGGUGUUCGUCGGGCUGAGCGCCAUGAUCGGCGCGGGGAUCUUCGCG